AAUUGUUUGGCAGGGGUAAAGCAUAGACUACCUACUGUGGGAAUGAAGUGAGAUAAGGCUGGAGUGGUGGGCAGGGGUCAGGGCAUGGAUGGCCUGGUACCAUGUACUAGAGGAAUUUGAACUUUAUCUUGUAGGUAGUAGAGAACCAGUGAAGGCCUUUAGGCAGGAUAAUAACAUCACUUCAUUUUACUGGUUUAUAAGCAAUGGAUUAAUGACGGAGCUAGAAGUAGACUGUUACAUACUCCAUAUAAGCAAAGUCAAGAUCCUGAACUAAGAACGUAGCAAUCAAGAUGAAGAGGAGGAAGACAGAUUAGAGAAGUGCUAGAAUCUGUAGGGCUUCCUAAUCAAUUGUAGAGGGAGCUAUGGUGAGAGGUAUGAGUAAGGAGAGAAGUCACAAUCUGAGAUAUAUUCAAGAGCCAGGCAAGUGUAUAUAAAUGAAUGAAAGGAGCUUCAGCAUCCUUUAUGGUCACUGUGAAGACUACAUGAACCAGGAGCUCAUCUGCUGCUCAUCUCCAGCCAGUUGUUCCAUGCAGAUCCGAAAAGACACGGUGAUGUCUGACUUGUUCUCUUGGAUGUCUCUCCCUGAGUGAAGCCAGCUACUUUUCAUGAGGAUACUCAAGCAUUCCUAUGGAGAGAUCCACAUGGUGAGAAACUGAAGCCUCCUACCAAGAGCCAGCACCAACUUGCCAGCUAUGUGAAUGAGCCAUCUUAGAAGUGGGUUCUCUAGCCCUAGUCAGGCCUUCAUAUGACUGCAGCCAGGGCUGAUAUUUUGACUACAACCUCAUGAGAGACUGAGCCACAACAACCUAGCUAAGAAGCUCCUGAAUUCCCUACCAACAGAAACUAUGUGAGAUAAUGUUUGUUGUUUUAACUAAGUUUUCAAGUGGUAAUUUGUUAUACAGAAUAUGUAACUAAUAAAGCAUGGCUCCUUUAGGUCUAAAUGUUGUCUUUUGCUUACAUGAUACCCCAGAAGCACAGGAAUCCUGCUGUUUCAUGAAGCACUUGAGUAUGGAAAUUCUUGUGAGGUUGCCUCUGUCCCUGUUUGCCCCAACACACCAUGUAGUUAUUCCUUCACUGGACUUGCACCUUUCUACCAGUCUCUGCUCAGGAAGCAAAGCCUAAGUUUCCUCUUUUCCUAGAAAUACAGACCUAUUUGUAGACCUCCUGUUCUUCAUCUUCAGCCUGCAGAUAUUUUGUUUUUAUCUUGGGGAAAUUCUCCUCAUUUUUGGCCAUGAUACUUUGUACUUGAAUCUUCUCAACCUCUCCAGGACUUUCGGAAAUAAAAGGCAGAAAACUUACAAGCUUGUCUUCUUUCUACCAUGUUGUAAUGCCUCCCCUGAGACAGUGAACAAAAGGCUAGCUCUUUGAAUUUUGUGAGAUGUAGAAAGAAAGGGGAAAAUGAAGGGAGAAAAAAUGUGAAUAUCUCAAAAUACCAUCCUACCAGAAUUAUCAAUAUGUGAUGAGUGCUUACUGUGUGCCAGAUACUAUACCAAAUGCUUUACAUAUUUUUUCUCAUUAAGUACUAUUAUCAAGCUUAUUUUACAAACAAGAUGAUCAGAUUUAGAGAGAUUAAGUAAGUUGCCUGAAGUUUCACUGUUUCUAGAUGGUAAUGCUGAAAUUCUACCAGGAAUCUCUGACUCCCAGCUCCAACUUUUGACCAUUAGCAUGCAAGUUCUUUCCAUGUGGUUGGGGAGGGAAGAAGGUUGGUCUAAGGGUGCUUUCCUUUGGCUUCAUUUCUUCACAUAAAUGAGGAUGCCAAUCAUACCUAAGACUUGUCUGUCAUUAAUACAUUUCUGACAGUGGCUUCCACUUGGCAACACUUUGUAGGCGAGUGGACCUACUCUGUACACUUGAAAUGUUGAAAACUGCACUUCUUCUAAAAUACUGUUUGGAUCAAUCAUUUCAUUUAGUUAAGCAGGCCAUCUGUCUAUCCAGCAUGUUUUCCAAGUGCCUGUGCGUAGGUACCACGUAAAAUGCUGGGGACAUCAAGAUGAAUUCAACACUCACCAUGAGCUAUGUGUGUGGUGUUUAGAUGAAACAGACAUAAAAGCUAAUUACAGCAGUGAGAUAAGUUGUAUAUCUAAACAGCAUAUGAAUAUGUGUUCUGGAAUGCAGAAGAAAAGUACUAAUUUCAGCUUAGGUAUAUCAAGGAAAACUUCUCAGAGGUAAUAAGCCUUCAAGAAUGAGUAGAAAUUCACCAGUAGGACAUUCUGGACAGAGGAAGAGGCAUGGGCAAAAAUGCUUGGCAAUUUCAGAGAGGAGCACACAACUGAGAAUAAUUGGAGAGGAUGAUGUAUGUUUAUAGGAGCCAGAUAAUGAAGAUACUUGUUCUACUAUGCUAACAAGUUAAAAUAAUUAAAACUCUCACCCCACAGGAGGAAUCUUGCCCACAAAUAUUCUUUGUUUGAUGUAGGUUUUUUUUUCUUGAAUUUGAAUGUCUUUAAAAAGACGUACAUUCUCUAGUCUUCUGUCUCCUCAGGCUCACCCCUCCAUAUUUAGGUUACCUAGCUAUCCCUGCAGACAUUUGAGCUUACUCCCCCUGCUGCAGCAAUGGGGAGUCACGGAAGAUUAUCUUUGUUUAUAGGAGCCAGAUAAUGAAGAUACUUGUUCUACUAUGCUAACAAGUUAAAAUAAUUAAAACUCUCACCCCACAGGAGGAAUCUUGCCCACAAAUAUUCUUUGUUUGAUGUAGGUUUUUUUUUCUUGAAUUUGAAUGUCUUUAAAAAGACGUACAUUCUCUAGUCUUCUGUCUCCUCAGGCUCACCCCUCCAUAUUUAGGUUACCUAGCUAUCCCUGCAGACAUUUGAGCUUACUCCCCCUGCUGCAGCAAUGGGGAGUCAUGGAAGAUUAUCUUAAGGUGGAGUUAACAUGAACGUAUUUGCUCUUUCAGAGACCAUUCUGGCUUACUGUGGAGGAUAAAUGGUGAGGCCAAUUGGGAAGGGAUGGUACAAGAUAUAGAAAUGUCUUAGCUCGGGCUGCCUUAACCAAAUGCCAUAGCCUGGGUGGCUUAAACUCAGACAUUUAUUUUUCAUUAUUCUGGAAGCUGGAAAGUCCAAGAUCAAGGCACAAGCAGAUUCAAUUCUUGGUGAGGGCUUUCUUCCUGGCUUGUAGAUGGCCACCUUCUUACUGUAUCCUUAAAGAGAGAAGGAGCUCUGGUUUCCCUUCCUCUUCUUAUAAGGGCACUAAUCCUAUCAUGGGGCCUCCACCCUCAUGACUUCAUCUAAACCUAAUUACUUGCCAAAGGCCCCACCUCCUCAUACCAUCACAAUGGGGGUUGGAGUUUCAGCAUAUGAAUUUUGAGGGGAAUACAAACAUUCAAGCUAUAAAAAGCGACUUACUGGGUGAAGAGGCUGAGAGGGAGGACUCAUGAUUCUCAGUUUCCCACUGAAUGAACGGUGGUUCCAUUAACUCCAAAUGGAUAGCACAAGAGGUUUUAUUCUAUAUGUUUAUAUGAAGUUGUAAAAUUUCUUAGGAAGGAUUGUGGAGCAAUUGCUAAAAUCCACUUAAUGUCUAUUGGAAGUACCUAGAUGAAGUUCACCAGGAGACCUUUCAAAAGUGUCUCAAAUGUUCCUAUAAAUAUUGUGACAUAUUUAUGUCAUAAAUCAGGAUACAUGGUAGGACAUGUUGGGCAUUAAUAACAGACAUAAUAUUUAAAAUGGGAACUGUUCUGAAAAAUCAGGAGUGUAUGGUCACUGGAUAUAAAAAUUACUUUGUUGUCUCAUCUAGGUUCUCUUUUAUCAAAGGUCCCUCUGAAUAAAAAUACUAUCGUUAGAAUGUACAUGUUUAAAUAAACACGUCUCAAGUACAGCUAAUCGAUCUAUGGGUAUUUCCUCAUUUUCAUCUUCAAUAAUAAUUUCAAACUCCCUACCAUACUUUUCUACAGAGCUAUUAAUAGGAAGCUUCCAUCAGCUAACUUGAGUUUCCUCUCAUUUUCCCAGCUGACAUUCACUGGAGGUAUUAAUGGGAAAUAUAAUGUCUAAAAGACAUAGGUAGUCUUCAAAUUGGAUACUCAGGCACUGAAUAAUCUUAACUUCAUGAAAAUCAGCUCUUCAUUCUGUAAAGUAUCUAGCACACUCAAAAUGUAGAGUACAUAUAGGAGGGAAAACCAUAGCGUGGCAAUGUCUUCCUGUUAUUCCAUACAUAUUAGUGUGUUCUAUUUUUCACAAUGCUUGCUAAACUGGUUUUAUGCUUGAAAUAAUUGUCACAGAGUUUCACAAAACUUUGGAAACACAAUUAACCCACCAAUAAAUUGAGUGGGAUACUAUGGAGAAUGCAAAGAUGUAUAAGACAUGAUUUCCUUUAGGUGUUUAAUACUUAAUAGAGGAAAUAAGACACAUUCAUGAAAAAGAUAAUAACAUAAGCUACUAUGUGAUGUCAAACAAUAGUUCUUUUUUUCAUAUCUAUGAAUUCAUUAGAGACGAGAAAAAAAUUUCACAAAAAGUUGGCAUUUACAAUGUAAUGAAAGAAGCAUGACCUCUAAAAUACAA
This 4487-nucleotide long non-coding RNA is filed under the name Homo sapiens (human). Its description in RNAcentral is "HSALNT0124652". Lineage: Eukaryota; Metazoa; Chordata; Mammalia; Primates; Hominidae. The record is from RNAcentral.